RNAcentral lists this ribosomal RNA (495 nucleotides) under uncultured bacterium. RNAcentral describes it as "partial 16S ribosomal RNA". It matches the Rfam family "Bacterial small subunit ribosomal RNA", at positions 28 to 523 of the family's 1533-position model. The record is from RNAcentral.
GAUGAACGCUAGCGGCAGGCCUAACACAUGCAAGUCGAGGGGGAGUUGUCUUCGGACAAUGAGACCGGCGCACGGGUGCGUAACGCGUAUGCAAUCUACCUUAUACUAAGGGAUAGCCCAGAGAAAUUUGGAUUAAUACCUUAUAGUUAAUAGAGUUGGCAUCGACUUUAUUAUAAAGAUUAAUUGGUAUAAGAUGAGCAUGCGUCCCAUUAGUUAGUUGGUAAGGUAACGGCUUACCAAGACGAUGAUGGGUAGGGGUCCUGAGAGGGAGAUCCCACACAAUGGUACUGAGACAUGGACCAGACUCCUACGGGAGGCAGCAGUGAGGAAUAUUGGUCAAUGGGCGCAAGCCUGAACCAGCCAUGCCGCGUGCAGGAUGAAGCAUCUAUGGUGUGUAAACUGCUUUUGUACGGGAAGAAAAAAAAGCUACGUGUAGCUUACUGACGGUACCGUAAGAAUAAGGAUCGGCUAACUCCGUGCCAGCCGCCGCGGUAA